UACAGAGGUGGCAAGCGUUGUUCGGAAUCACUGGGCGUAAAGGGCGCGUAGGCGGCCUUGCAAGUCGGUUGGUGAAAGCCCGGGGCUCAACCCCGGAGGUGCGGCCGAGACUGCAGGGCUGGAGGCCGGAAGAGGAGGGUGGAAUACCCAGUGUAGAGGUGAAAUUCGUAGAUAUUGGGUGGAACACCGGUGGCGAAAGCGGCUCUGUGGUCCGGACCUGACGCUGAGGCGCGAAAGCGUGGGGAGCAAACAGG
RNAcentral lists this ribosomal RNA (254 nucleotides) under uncultured bacterium. Its description in RNAcentral is "partial 16S ribosomal RNA". It matches the Rfam family "Bacterial small subunit ribosomal RNA", at positions 524 to 776 of the family's 1533-position model. The record is from RNAcentral.